GAUGAACGCUAGCGGCAGGCUUAAUACAUGCAAGUCGAGGGGCAGCAUGAUUGUAGCAAUACAAUUGAUGGCGACCGGCAAACGGGUGCGGAACACGUACACAACCUCCCAAUAAGUGGGGAAUAGCCCAGAGAGAUUUGGAUUAAUACCCCGUACCGUAACGAUGUGGCUACACAUUGUUAUUAUAGAAUUAUCGUUUAAUGAUGGGUGUGCGGCUGAUUGGGUAGUUGGCGGGGUAACGGCCGACCAAGUCUACGAGCAGUAGCUGAUGUGAGAGCAUGAUCAGCCACACGGGCAAUGAGACACGGGCCCGACUCCUACGGGAGGCAGCAGUAAGGAAUAUUGGACAAUGGACGCAAGUCUGAUCCAGCCAUGCCGCGUGAAGGAUUAAGGUCCUCUGGAUUGUAAACUUCUUUUAUAAGGGACGAAAAAAGGCUUUUCUAAGUCGUCUGACGGUACCUUAUGAAUAAGCACCGGCUAACUCCGUGCCAGCCGCCGCGGUAA
This 504-nucleotide ribosomal RNA is filed under the name uncultured bacterium. RNAcentral describes it as "partial 16S ribosomal RNA". It matches the Rfam family "Bacterial small subunit ribosomal RNA", at positions 28 to 523 of the family's 1533-position model. The record is from RNAcentral.